GAUGAAGAAACGUAGUGAAAUGCGAUAAUUAAUGUGAAUUGCAGAAUUCAGUGAAUCAUCGAGUCUUUGAACGCACAUUGCGCCCCCUGGUAUUCCGGGGGGCAUGCCUGUCCGAGCGUCAUUGCUGCCCUCAAGCACGGCUUGUGUGUUGGGCUUCCGUCCCUGGCAACGGGGACGGGCCCAAAAGGCAGUGGCGGCACCAUGUCUGGUCCUCGAGCGUAUGGGGCUUUGUCACCCGCUCCCGUAGGUCCAGCUGGCAGCUAGCCUCGCAACCAAUCUUUUUAACCAGGUUGACCUCGGAUCAGGUAGGGAUACCCGCUGAACUUAAGCAUAUCAAUAAGCGGAGGA
RNAcentral lists this unclassified non-coding RNA (348 nucleotides) under soil metagenome. Its description in RNAcentral is "partial contains 5.8S ribosomal RNA, internal transcribed spacer 2, and large subunit ribosomal RNA". The stretch from base 1 to 121 matches the Rfam family "5.8S ribosomal RNA", at positions 35 to 154 of the family's 154-position model. The record is from RNAcentral.